GAUUAUUCCGGUUGAUCCUGCCGGAGGCCAUUGCUAUUGGAGUCCGAUUUAGCCAUGCUAGUCGCACGGGUUCAGACCCGUGGCGAAUAGCUCCGUAACACGUGGCCAAACUACCCUAUGGAUCGGAAUAACCUCGGGAAACUGAGGCUAAUACCGAAUACCGCUCUCACGUUGGAAUUACAGAGAGCACGAAACGCUCCGGCGCCGUAGGAUGUGGCUGCGGCCGAUUAGGUAGACGGUGGGGUAACGGCCCACCGUGCCGAUAAUCGGUACGGGUUGUGAGAGCAAGAACCCGGAGACGGUAUCUGAGACAAGAUACCGGGCCCUACGGGGCGCAGCAGGCGCGAAACCUUUACACUGCACGAACGUGCGAUAAGGGGACUCCAAGUGCGAGGGCAUACAGUCCUCGCUUUUCCCUACCGUAAGGUGGUAGGUGAAUAAGAGCUGGGCAAGACCGGUGCCAGCCGCCGCGGUAAUACCGGCAGCUCGAGUGAUGGCCAAUAUUAUUGGGCCUAAAGCGUCCGUAGCUGGCCGAACAGGUCCGUCGGGAAAUCCGCUCGCUCAACGAGCGGACGUCCGGCGGACACCAGUCGGCUUGGGACCGGAAGACCCGAGGGGUACGUCCGGGGUAGGAGUGAAAUCCUGUAAUCCUGGACGGACCACCGGUGGCGAAAGCGCCUCGGGAGGACGGAUCCGACAGUGAGGGACGAAAGCUUGGGUCACGAACCGGAUUAGAUACCCGGGUAGUCCAAGCUGUAAACGAUGCUCGCUAGGUGUGGCACUGGCUACGAGCCAGUGCUGUGCCGUAGGGAAGCCGAGAAGCGAGCCGCCUGGGAAGUACGUCCGCAAGGAUGAAACUUAAAGGAAUUGGCGGGGGAGCACUACAACCGGAGGAGCCUGCGGUUUAAUUGGACUCAACGCCGGACAUCUCACCAGCACCGACAGUGUGCGAUGAAGAUCAGUGUAAUGAGCUUAUUGGAGCCACUGAGAGGAGGUGCAUGGCCGCCGUCAGCUCGUACCGUGAGGCGUCCUGUUAAGUCAGGCAACGAGCGAGACCCGCAUCCUUAAUUGCCAGCAGUACCCU
Molecule: ribosomal RNA, 1084 nt
Filed under: uncultured Halalkalicoccus sp.
Lineage: Archaea; Methanobacteriati; Methanobacteriota; Halobacteria; Halobacteriales; Halalkalicoccaceae
Description: bacterial SSU rRNA
Rfam family: Archaeal small subunit ribosomal RNA
Source: RNAcentral